This 503-nucleotide ribosomal RNA is filed under the name uncultured bacterium. Its description in RNAcentral is "bacterial SSU rRNA". It matches the Rfam family "Bacterial small subunit ribosomal RNA", at positions 15 to 507 of the family's 1533-position model. The record is from RNAcentral.
GAUCCUGGCUCAGGAUGAACGCUAGCUACAGGCUUAACACAUGCAAGUCGCGGGGCAGCAUUUCCUUAGCUUGCUAAGGAAGAUGGCGACCGGCGCACGGGUGAGUAACGCGUAUCCAACCUUCCCAUGUCCACGGGAUAGCCCGUCGAAAGGCGGAUUAAUACCGUAUGAGGUCACAUGCGGGCAUCUAAGUGUGACGAAAGGUUUUGCGGACAUGGAUGGGGAUGCGUCCGAUUAGCUGGUUGGCGGGGUAACGGCCCACCAAGGCGACGAUCGGUAGGGGUUCUGAGAGGAAGGUCCCCCACAUUGGAACUGAGACACGGUCCAAACUCCUACGGGAGGCAGCAGUGAGGAAUAUUGGUCAAUGGACGUAAGUCUGAACCAGCCAAGUAGCGUGCAGGAUGACGGCCCUAUGGGUUGUAAACUGCUUUUAUGCGGGGAUAAAGUGUGGGACGUGUCCCAUAUUGUAGGUACCGCAUGAAUAAGGACCGGCUAAUUCCGUG